RNAcentral lists this unclassified non-coding RNA (222 nucleotides) under plant metagenome. Its description in RNAcentral is "partial contains small subunit ribosomal RNA, internal transcribed spacer 1, and 5.8S ribosomal RNA". The record is from RNAcentral.
UCUCCGUAGGUGAACCGGCGGAGGGAUCAUUACAGAGUUCAUGCCCUCACGGGUAGAUCUCCCACCCUGUGUUAUUAUACUUUGUUGCUUUGGCAGGCCGCCCGCGUGGGCUACCGGCUCCAGCUGGUAAGUGCCUGCCAGAGGACCCCAAACUCUGAAUAUUUUAUUGUCUGAGUACUAUAUAAUAGUUUAAAACUUUCAACAACGGAUCUUUUGGUUCUG